RNAcentral lists this ribosomal RNA (460 nucleotides) under uncultured bacterium. RNAcentral describes it as "partial 16S ribosomal RNA". It matches the Rfam family "Bacterial small subunit ribosomal RNA", at positions 338 to 795 of the family's 1533-position model. The record is from RNAcentral.
CCUACGGGGGGCAGCAGUGAGGAACAUUGGUCAAUGGACGAGAGUCUGAACCAGCCAAGUAGCGUGAAGGAUGACUGCCCUAUGGGUUGUAAACUUCUUUUAUAUGGGAAUAAAACGUUCCACGUGUGGGAUUUUGUAUGUACCAUAUGAAUAAGGAUCGGCUAACUCCGUGCCAGCAGCCGCGGUAAUACGGAGGAUCCGAGCGUUAUCCGGAUUUAUUGGGUUUAAAGGGAGCGUAGGUGGAUUGUUAAGUCAGUUGUGAAAGUUUGCGGCUCAACCGUAAAAUUGCAGUUGAAACUGGCAGUCUUGAGUACAGUAGAGGUGGGCGGAAUUCGUGGUGUAGCGGUGAAAUGCUUAGAUAUCACGAAGAACUCCGAUUGCGAAGGCAGUUCACUGGACUGCAACUGACACUGAGGCUCGAAAGUGUGGGUAUCAAACAGGAUUAGAUACCCUUGUAGUC